Molecule: ribosomal RNA, 650 nt
Filed under: uncultured bacterium
Lineage: Bacteria
Description: bacterial SSU rRNA
Rfam family: Bacterial small subunit ribosomal RNA
Source: RNAcentral
GUGGGGAUCUCGGGUAGUGGCGGACGGGUGAGUAACACGUGGGAACGUGCCUUUAGGUUCGGAAUAACUCAGGGAAACUUGUGCUAAUACCGAAUGUGCCCUUCGGGGGAAAGAUUUAUCGCCUUUAGAGCGGCCCGCGUCUGAUUAGCUAGUUGGUGAGGUAAAGGCUCACCAAGGCGACGAUCAGUAGCUGGUCUGAGAGGAUGAUCAGCCACAUUGGGACUGAGACACGGCCCAAACUCCUACGGGAGGCAGCAGUGGGGAAUCUUGCGCAAUGGGCGAAAGCCUGACGCAGCCAUGCCGCGUGAAUGAUGAAGGUCUUAGGAUUGUAAAAUUCUUUCACCGGGGACGAUAAUGACGGUACCCGGAGAAGAAGCCCCGGCUAACUUCGUGCCAGCAGCCGCGGUAAUACGAAGGGGGCUAGCGUUGCUCGGAAUUACUGGGCGUAAAGGGAGCGUAGGCGGACAUUUAAGUCAGGGGUGAAAUCCCGGGGCUCAACCUCGGAAUUGCCUUUGAUACUGGGUGUCUUGAGUAUGAGAGAGGUGUGUGGAACUCCGAGUGUAGAGGUGAAAUUCGUAGAUAUUCGGAAGAACACCAGUGGCGAAGGCGACACACUGGCUCAUUACUGACGCUGAGGCUCGAAAGCGUGG